This 30-nucleotide non-coding RNA is filed under the name Mus musculus (house mouse). Lineage: Eukaryota; Metazoa; Chordata; Mammalia; Rodentia; Muridae. The record is from RNAcentral.
UAUAUUUGCAUGGAGGCUUUACAGUUUGCC